CAGAGUGUAGCUAAACAGUAUAGCAUCUCCCUUACACCGAGAAGACGCCCGUGCAAACCGGGUCACACUGA
This 71-nucleotide transfer RNA is filed under the name Gymnogobius uchidai. RNAcentral's name for it is "tRNA-Val". It matches the Rfam family "tRNA". From Rfam's summary of the family: Transfer RNA (tRNA) molecules are approximately 80 nucleotides in length. The record is from RNAcentral. Lineage: Eukaryota; Metazoa; Chordata; Actinopteri; Gobiiformes; Gobiidae.